This 512-nucleotide ribosomal RNA is filed under the name uncultured bacterium. RNAcentral's name for it is "bacterial SSU rRNA". It matches the Rfam family "Bacterial small subunit ribosomal RNA", at positions 38 to 507 of the family's 1533-position model. The record is from RNAcentral.
CGAAGGAGUAGGAACCGACGUACGGCCGGACGACGGUACUUAAUAACAUCGACGAAGUCGUACGGGAUCCGAGGUAGCAAUACUUUGGUGAGAGUGGCGCACGGGUGCGUAACACGUAUGCAACCUACCUAUAACCGGGACACAACCUCGAGAAAUUGAGGCUAAUAUCCCAUAACACUGCGAGAUGGCAUCAUUUUGCAGUUAAAACUCCGGUGGUUAUAGAUGGGCAUGCGCGACAUUAGCUAGUUGGUGAGGUAAAAGCCCACCAAGGCGACGAUCCGUAGCUGGUCUGAGAGGAUGAUCAGCCACACUGGAACUGAGACACGGUCCAGACUCCUACGGGAGGCAGCAGUGGGGAAUAUUGGACAAUGGGCGCAAGCCUGAUCCAGCCAUACCGCGUGGGUGAAGAAGGCCUUCGGGUUGUAAAGCCCUUUUGUUGGGAAAGAAAACUUGCGGGCUAAUACCCAGCAAGUCUGACGGUACCCAAAGAAUAAGCACCGGCUAACUUCGUG